This 358-nucleotide unclassified non-coding RNA is filed under the name soil metagenome. RNAcentral's name for it is "partial contains 5.8S ribosomal RNA, internal transcribed spacer 2, and large subunit ribosomal RNA". The stretch from base 1 to 120 matches the Rfam family "5.8S ribosomal RNA", at positions 35 to 154 of the family's 154-position model. The record is from RNAcentral.
GAUGAAGAACGUAGUAAAAUGCGAUAAGUAAUGUGAAUUGCAGAAUUCAGUGAAUCAUCGAAUCUUUGAACGCACAUUGCGCCCGUCAGUAUUCUGGCGGGCAUGCCUGUUCGAGCGUCAUUACGCCCCUCAAGUCCCCUGUGGACUUGGUGUUGGGGAUCGGCGAGGCUGGUUUUCCAGCACAGCCGUCCCUUAAAUUAAUUGGCGGUCUCGCCGUGGCCCUCCUCUGCGCAGUAGUAAAACACUCGCAACAGGAGCCCGGCGCGGUCCACUGCCGUAAAACCCCCCAACUUUUUAUAGUUGACCUCGAAUCAGGUAGGACUACCCGCUGAACUUAAGCAUAUCAAUAAGCGGAGGA